Molecule: non-coding RNA, 29 nt
Filed under: Mus musculus (house mouse)
Lineage: Eukaryota; Metazoa; Chordata; Mammalia; Rodentia; Muridae
Source: RNAcentral
UCGAUCGAGUGCCCGNACUGCUGUUAGAC